This 15449-nucleotide long non-coding RNA is filed under the name Lathyrus oleraceus (garden pea). Its description in RNAcentral is "Pisum sativum (pea) long non-coding RNA (PSAT_LNC038054)". Lineage: Eukaryota; Viridiplantae; Streptophyta; Magnoliopsida; Fabales; Fabaceae. The record is from RNAcentral.
UUUUUGAAAACCAAGUUAACUGAAGAAAUAGAAAAUCCACCUACGACAGUUGAACAAAUAGAAUUAACGAAGAAAAAAAAACUCAAUUCAAUAAAAAAAAAUCACCACACUAUCAACAACAACAACAUGUAAGAUUUCAUACCAGUCAUAUCAAAAUGUGCAAAAAUGAAAUGUAAGAGAACUAAUAACUGUGAAAAUAGAAUCAGCGUUAACAAAAUAAUUAUGACAUUUAUACACUUUGAAAACUAAGUUAAACUGAAAGAAAUUGAAAAAUCGAAACUUAAGCAAAAAUGCAGAUGUUGAAAUCAGAUUAAAUAUGCCAGUAAAUGAAAUGUGAAACAAUAUAACAGUAAAUAAUCACCCGAAGAAGUGAAUCCUGUUCGGUGAUUUCGCUUCUUGACGAUCCUGAGCAAAAGCUUGGAAGAAUGAAUGAAAAGUAAGAAACCAUAACCGAGGAGAGGAGAAGAUGUUGAAGAAAAAAGAAUAGAAGAUUUAGAAACUUCGGGGACUCACCAUGGUGUUUGGUAGUUGAAGCGAGAGUCCAAACUCAGAGAAUAAGAGAGACUUUGGUUCACUUGGUUAGUGAAAUUUAAAUCAGAAAGGAAUGUGGAGGGAGAUAGGUGACGUAAGUGUAUAUAUUUAUAGAACGACUAACAUUUCUUUUGGUUAAAAAUCUUUUCAUGCUGUUAGUCUCCAACACUAUGGUCACGAAAGAACCCACUUUCCUAAAUCAAUCACCAUCCACACGCAGUUUUAUUUUAUUUUUAUAAAGACCACAUACUAUAUUAUUAUUAUGAUGAAUUGUGAUUCAAUUUAUUAUCUACUUUAAGUUAAAUUAAAUUUGUUUAAAACUAUAUAGUAUUAGCUUUAUCGAUGAUUAAAAUAAACCAAUAAGCGGGAAAAAUGACAAAAGCACAGAAGGAAUGAAGUGAUAUAAAAUUUAACCGAUAUUUUUAGAUAUUGAUAUAUAAUUUUUUUUUUCUUUCUUUAGAUGAAAAUAAAGAUCCAUAUUAAAAUAUGUACUUGUGCUCCAAAGUCGAGUUAUCUAUUCCAAAUAGAUGUCCACUAUUUACUGGUAAAUAUAUUUUCUCACUUAAAAAAUAUUGUAAAUGUUUACUGUUUUAUAUCAUUGCCUCAAAAAAAAGUAUUAUAAAAAGAACAUUUAUACCAUUACAUAUGCUUACAAAUUGAAUUAUUUAUUUUAAAAGAAAAAAAAAACAACAAUAUAUUAUAUAUUGUAUGGUUUCAUGAAAAACUCAUUAUUACGGUAGUAUCGAAGAUAAUGCUUUUGUCCACGUAUACUCUCUCACCUUCACUGUCAGAUGUGCGUUUUCCAUUUGAUAUGAAAGACCACUCCUUAGAAAAUGACAAAACUCUGUAGAAUGAAAGCAAUACUCAUAUGUGUGAAGUUUAUUGUAAGUUUUGAGGACUCCUUGAAGCUGAAAACGUGGCAGUACACUGUCCCCUCUAAAAAUCCUUGCCUGCAAAUUAUUCAGCUACUUAAUCGUAGCAGAGAACAGGUUAAUUUUGAGUGGCACAAUGUACCAUUUUGAACAUUUAACCUACAAUAAAGCAAGUCCUCUUAUUUUGGUGUGUGCGUUUCCAACGAUCGUACAAAGGUUUUUCAAAUAACCCUGCACGCGCUCAACAUUCCUACUCUACACCAUGCACAACUUGCGAUUUAUCGGUGGUGCGUCUCAUGCUCCCGUUUUGUUGGGAACACGUCAAAGCAUGCAUGACAGCUUCGUGAAAAUUUAACUCCUACCCUUACAAAACUAGCUUAACACAUCACAUAAUUCAAAAUAAUAUUAGCUUUUUUUUUUUUUUACAUUUUUGUUUUUCAGUCUCACUUUCAACUAAUUAUUUCUAAUAUAAAUUCACUCGCUCAAAAAAAAAUUAAUAUGUAAAAGACUUUCUGAUUUACACUUUAUUUUGAUAUAUUUCAAAAGAAAGUUUUCAAUAUGUUUUCAAUAUGUUAUAUUUUGAUAUAUUCCAAGCAUGCUCACUCAGGGGGUUUCUGGAGUACAUACGAAGGAUCGACUCUUUGACAGUGGAAAAAUGUCAUAUGGACACCUUUUGCAUACCAUAUAGUUAACUAGGAGUUUGAUAACACUGCCCUUGUUUGGGUUAUAUGUGAUGGAAGAUUAUGGUGGUUGCAUAUUUACUUGAGAGGUGUAUGUGCCAAUUUGGGUAUGUUCAUAUCAGUCUUAGAUCAGUUCUUGCAGUGUCAGUCAGGGGCAUUGAGAGAUGGUUUAGGUCUAAUAUUAUGAGAUGGGUCACAACUACCAGAGAAAAUACGGUGGAUGUAUCUCUUCCUUGACAAUGAUUGAAUGGGUAUUUAGAGUGGUACUUUAGAGUAUUGUAAUUUUGCAUCAUCCCACUUGUCCAACUGAAGCUACACGAAAUAUACCUGAGUGCAUCGCACGCUCAGAGAUACAACAGAGUCGCCAUCAAACUUUAUUUAUUACCGAAGGAAAGGGAAAACUUCGAUAAAACCCAAGGGAAGAGAAAAACAGGGUAAGAAAGUCAGUUAUGCAAUGGGAAAAUCUUAGCAUCCCUCACAUUUGUUGUACUCAACGGGAACCGUUUUGAUUGUUCUAUGCUCGAAUGGGUGUUAAUAUCUAAAGAUUACUCGCGAAAAGGAAAAAAAGGUUUUAAUGAAUAAUGUUAACGUUCAUGUUUUAACAAUAAACAUUGCUUGUAUGCUUGUGCAUGGAAGACUUAAGCGUCGUUCAUGGUAGAACGAAAGUAACAUGUUCUUUGUGAAAAGGUUUUUGGAAAGAUGAUGCCCAAAGGCAAAAAUGAAUUUGAUGAGUUGAGUUUGCUUUUAUAUUUGAAAAUAGAUAUCUUAAUUUGAAUUAUACUAAAGUCUAUGAAUGGAGAUGAAUAUUCUGAGUAACUGGGUCAUUCGCCCCAUACCCAAAGAUAUUCAGAAUGAGGAUAGGAAUGCUCUCUCUCAUCCCUUCUCCAUUUCUUAAGGCUCGUGGCGCAUAAUUGUAAUUAUAUUUUUAAGUGUUUUUUAGUUUAUAUACAAAAUCGUUUUAGUCUUAAACUAAAAGAAAAGAAAAGGAAAAGAAACCCUAGAGGUUGAGAUCCUGAUCUCCAGUCUGCAUGCCACAUCUGUGUAGAAAGACUUGUCAAUCAUUCGAUAUAAAUUACACUAAAGUCUAUGAGUAGAGGUGAAUACUCUGAGAAACAGGUCAUUUGUCCCGUACCCAAAGAUAUUCAGAAUAAGGAUAAGAAUUCCCCCUCUCAUCCCUUUUCUACUACUUAAGGCUCAUUACAUACAAUUUGCAUCAUAACUAACGAGUCUUGAAGAUGAACCUUUGUAAUGCUUGAACAAUGAUCCAGUCUGUCUGCAAUGUCUGACUUGUAUUGUCUUGAAUGUGAAGUCUUGAGCUUUUUAAGGUCUAGAGAUCCAAUGCAGUUCCAGUGCAGGGGGUUUAGUCCUAUCAAGUGAUCAAUAAACUUUUGAUCACUUAAAUAGACAGGGGAAAUGAGCACAGUCAAAGGAUUUAAUUGAUCAAAGAGAAAUUUCAUCAAAGAAAUCAAUCGGGGUAAAAUCAGUUGAAAAUCAAGGCACAAGGGGAUAAAGACUUGCAAACCCUAAGGAUUAAUCAUAUUAACAACCAAACUUAAUUCUAAAGACCUAGAUCUAAGGGAACAUGACAUUGGUUAAGAUGCAAUUAAUCACAAAAUCAUAUCAAUGGCUAACAAUAAUCAAUUUGAUUUAAAAGAUCAAUUAAAUCUAAAAAGAUUAGGAACGAAUAAAAUUCUAAAAAAAAGUGAAUUAGAAUACAAAUCAAACUAUGCACUAAGUACUUUAAUCAUGUGAAUUAAAAUAUUUAAACCUAAUCAAGAAAUCAUAUAUUUUUUUAUGCAUUUUUAAAACAAUUAAGAAUUAAAUGCAAUUAAACAAGCAAAUUAAUCCUAAUUAAAAAGUCUAAUCAUGUUAAUCUCUAAGUUUGCAUCAAAAUGUAUUAGCUACAAUUAAAAAAAAUGUAAAAACAAAUGACAAAAAAAAAAGAAUUAGCAGAAGAACCAAAAAAACAACAAAACAAAGGGGUUUUAAUCAGAAAACAAAGGUGCAAGAAGUAAAUUGAGCGUGGGUCCAAACAAGGCCCAUAGUGCCUUCAACUAUGUUAAGUAGGGGAUAUGAAAGCUUAAUAGGGUGCAUAUAGCAAUAAAUAGGCUCAAGGCAUGGAAAAAGGCCAAUAGCAUAGCAAGGCAAAUGGAAUCAAAGGCCAAGCAGAUUGUCACGUGUCCAGAUUUUCCACUUUUUCCAUAUUUCUCACUCAGGUCAACCAUGUUCAAACUCAAAUUUCUUCCCUCCACUGAAACUUUCCUCUGCCGCGCCAGAGUUCUCCUCUGGCGGCAUCGGAGCCCUAAAUCUUCAAACAAAGUACGUUAUCAUCUUCCUCUCCCUAUCCUGAGUCUAAAUCUCAUGUCCAAUUCUAACAAUUCUCCACCAAUUACUCGAACUGAGGCCAACUGUAUAAGAACCCUAGAAAUCAAAUGAGAAAUUAAAUCAUGAUCCUCUGGAAUCAUAGCCCUAGAGCUUAGGGCUUUGAUUCUUCUAAAUGAAGUCUACAUCCCGGUAACAAGCACGAAGCAAACGACCAAGAAAAAGAGGACACUCGCCGAAGAAUUCGCAGAGGUCACCAGAAUCAAGUAAUCUCUUAUGAAUCUUUCUUCUUCCUUCAAAUAUCCUUCUUAUUUAAUCUUGUUCUUCUUCUUUCUUCUUCUGUGAUUGAGUCUCGUGUGAGUGUGAAAUUGUAUAAUAGUAUAUAUAUAUAUAUAUAUAUAUAUAUAUAUAUAUAUAUAUACUAUAGUUAUAUAUAUAUAUAUAUAUAGAGAGAGAGAGAGAGAGAGAGAGGAUGAAGCUUUAAGUCUAUGUGAAUUGAGAUGAAGGAUGAUUAGUGAUGAGUCUGGGUUGAUGAAAAAGUGAAGAGUCCUAGAGAUUGUGAAGGUUGAUUUGAAUUUAUAGAGGGAUUAGUUAACAGAAAAAGGAACUAUGUUAGUUCUAUUUGAUUCAAAUUUAGUCGACAGUUAACUAACUCCGUGAUUUUCUGUUACAGGUUAGUUAUGGAAUUCAAAAUUUGUUUAAGUGGUAGUUAGAUGGUGAAAUGAGAGUGAAAGUUAGUCUAAGAUGUGUUAAUUGUGAACAACAAUUUCUAUUAGUUUUGAGUGAAAUGAAAUUCAGUUAAGAGUUAAAUGUAAUUAGAUGUUCAGUUAGAUGUUAAGUGAGUUGUUAGUUGUAAGUUGGUUAAGUUUUGGAAUUCUAUUUUUAUCUUCAACCUCGGUUAGUGGUUAGUUAUGAAUCGUGCCCUGUUGUUGUUGUUGAUUGAUUUGCAACAUAAUUUGAUAUGUUUAGUUGUUGCAUUGUUGUGUCAUGAUAAAUUGCAUUGUUGUUGAUCUUCUUAUGUGAUGAAUUGCAUUGCCAUGUUAUUGUGUAUGUGACCUUGAUUGCAUAUGCUAUGGUGCUUGUGCUAUGAUGCUAGGUGAAUGAACUAUGGUUGAUGAUAAUUUAUGGUUCAUGUUUAGGCUAUGGUGAAUUGUUGGCUUUGUGUUAUGAUGGAUUACAUUGAAUUAAAAUUUUAGGGCUGCAAUGAAUUGUUUGUGUUAGUUAUUGGAUGCUAGUGUGAUAUGCUUAUUAUCAUGGCUUGAAAUGCUUGGCUAAGGUUGUUUGGAUUGAAUGGUUGAUUGAUAUUUAUAAUUUGAUGUGUUAUGCAUAUGCUUGACAUUUGUUUUGUAUGGUUUUAGAAAUGGUUUAUGUUGGCAUGGUUGGAAAUAGAUUGUUUAGAUCAAUGUUGGUUUACCAUGCUUGAAAUGACAUUUAUUGAUUUGGUCUUAUCUUGUAGGAUGUGCAUAAGGAUGGAUUGAAAAAGAAGGCUUAUACUUAAAGAAAAAUGGGGAUUAGGGUUUAGGAUGUAAAAAGUUGGUUAGUUGACUUUGAUCAACUGGCUGAUAUAAAAGUCAACAGUUAACCAAAAGUGGUCAACUUAUGUAAAAGUUGUACUUUUUGUAAUUUCUUUGUAUGAACAUGUAUGGGAAAUGUAAAAAUGAUCUUGUAUGAACGAAAUGCAUCCUUUUUAGAUGGGAAAGUACUUAUGAUUAUGAAACAUGAUUGAAUUCAAAUUACCGCUUUUCCAUCCAAAUCCAUAUUUGAAAUCACUUUGAAUCAAAUGCCUUAAAUGCAUCCUAAAACAUAUUUGAAUGAAUGAAUGAGAUGGAAAUACAUGGAUCAUGAAUGAAGCAUGCAAAAACUUUACCAAAUGGACCUUGGAUCAAUGAACUAUAAUGAAAACUUAAAUUAUGACACACUAAUGAAACAUGAGACCAUGGAUUGGCAAUGCACUAAUGAAACCAUGAAUGGAAUGUGAAUGAAAUAAGACUUAGAUCAAAUGGACCCUAAGACCGUGAAAUCAUUGAAACAUGAAUGAAACAAACCUUGAAUGAAGCAUAUAACAAGCCAUAAAUUAGGGUUUUAGCUAGGUUAAGAUCAAGAUCCAAAGAAAUAAUUAAGAACCUCAAACUAAGAAGUGAGGCUUCAAAUUAGUCCACCAAUGACAUGAACUAAAACUAGGUUUUCCCAUACCUUGAUGUAAGUCGCAUGAUUCAUGAACCUCAAAGUUCAAGAAAUAGGGUUUGGGCAUGAAUGAAUACCAUGAUGCAAUCUCCAAGAUAAUCAAGCACCUAAAACUAGGGUUUUAUACCUUGACCCAAAUGAUGGGCUCUCCAUAUUUACUGUAGCAUCACAAUCCUAGGGUUCUUGAUCCUCAAUCAAACCUUAACUUCUUGUUAGGUAUAAACAGUCUCAAACCUUUAAUUUUAUGACGAUGUUAGUACACUAGAUGGUAUGGAUGCAUAUAAAUGCAAAUGAAUCUGAAACAAAAAGGUUAGAUGAAAAUGAAAAAGGGUGGGAACACUUUGGGGUAUGACAACUACCUCUAUUUAAUCUUCUCGGACCUGAAGGUGUGAAUAGUAACAACUUUCGAACAUUUGAGGUAUGAGAGGAUUAAAUACCAAAAUAACAAAGAAAUUUGUCUGUUGGGGAUGAAUGUAAUGUGAGGUAAGAAUAUUAAUGGGAAAUUGCUUAUUGGGUGGCAUGUAGGAUUUUGUAUAUGGUCAUCUGUUGGGGAUCAUUUGAAAUAUCUAUGGGGAGAAUGGAUCAAUUGUAGAGAAAUAUGUUAGACAUGUAUGUUGUAUGCAAUAUGCAGUGUAUGCUUGAUUUUUCCUUUCUUUUGUCUUCUUUUUUUUUGUCUUUGCCUCCACUAACAAGUUUUGGCAUGUACUGGUAGUUGAGAUAUUCUUGCAGGAUUCCACAAAGAUAAGAACAUCAUGUAUUUACAAAAGGCAAGUAACAGAGGAUAUAAAGGUAAAUCGAAAUAUUCUGCAAAAGGCAGAAGGGCGUCUUGCAAAAGGCAAGCAUGACUUGACUGAGAAAUGAGUUGAUUUUCUGCCACAAAGGUAGAGGAGACUUGCAAAAGGAAAGUAAAGGGAUAUGAUGGUUUCUCAUGCAAAAGGCAUAUGAGGAAAUCUUAGCAAAAGGCCGUGAAAACACAUGAAGGUGAAUGUGAUUUCUCAUACAAAAGGAAAUGAGCACUUCUUAACAAAAGGUCCAAAAGAAAGAUGAAUGUGAAAGACGACUUCACUAAGGAUAUGGUUUCUCAUACAAAAGGUAACGAGGAACUUCCUUAACAAAAGGUUAAGAAGAAAGAUGGAUAGGUUUUUCAUACAAAAGGUAAUGAGAACUCCUUAGCAAAAAAUCUAAGAAGAAAUCUUGAUAUGAAUUUAUCAUACAAAAGGUAAUGAUAACUCCUUAACAAAAGAUUAAGAAUAAAUUUGGAUAUGUUUUGAUUUCUCAUGCAAAAGGCAAUGAGAGAUCCUUAACAAAAGGUUAAGAAGAAAAUCGGAAUCAACUGGUGUUUUCCUACAAAAGGCAAGGACAAUCCCUUAGCAAAAGGCUAGGAAUAUUUGUGAAUAGCACAUGCAAUCCUUUAUGCAAAAGGCAAUGAAGGAUGUUCCUCACGCAAAAGGCGGAGGGAACUUGCUAAAGGCAAGUGCAAGAUGGAGUAACUUCUCCUUAUGCAAAAGGCAAAAGGGACUCACACUGGGUGAACCGACAUAGUGACUUCCCGUGCAAAAGGAAGAGGUUACUUACAAAAGGUAAGCAUAUUGGAAGUAGAACUCCUCGUGCAAAAGACCGAGGGAACUUGCAAAAGGAAAGUUGGAAAUAAAAAGAGUUUCAGGUUUUAAACUUAACGGAUUUUCUCAUUUCUUUUGCUUUUAUCCCUGAUUUUUUCCUGGACCUUUUCUUUUUACGGUACACUGAUAUGCCCAUUUUUUCCUAAGUCGCCCCUUAGGGUUUUCGAUUUAUAUGGUCUAUUUUUAGGCGAAGUAUUUUUUGACUGCAUCUGCGUUUACUGGUGAUGCAAGGUCUCCAUCAUCCACAGUUGAGAGAAUCAAGGCUCCUUCAGAGAAAAUAUUUCUCACAAUGUAUGGUCCUUUGUAAUUAGGGGUUCACUUGCCCCGUGAAUCUGUAUGAAUUGGCUGAAUCUUCUUCAAUACCAGGUCUCCUACAUAGAGAUUCUGAGGAUGGACCUUUUUCUCAAAUGCCCUCUUCAACUGUUUUUGAUACAAUUGACAGUGGCAAAGAGUUGUCAGGCGGUCAUCUUCGAUGAUAUUGAGUUGAUCGAGCCUUAUUUGAACCCACUCAGCUUCUUCAAGCUUGACAUCUGUUAAAAUCCUCAGGGAGGGAAUCUUUACUUCAAUGGGAAGCACUGCAUCCAUGCCAUAUACAAGAGAGAAAAGGUUUUCCCCAAUUGAAGUUCUUACUGAAACACGGUAGCCAUGUAUAGAAAAAGGUAACAUUCCAUGCCAGUCUUUAUAUGUCUUCACCAUUUUCUGAACAAUCUUUUUAAUAUUCUUAUUUUCCGCCUCGACAGCACCAUUCAUCUUCGAACGGUAUGGCGAUGAGUUAUGUUGUUCAAUAUUGAAAAUAUUACACAACUCUUUCAUCAUCUUAUUAUUUAGAUUAGAACCAUUAUCAGUAAUGAUUUUGUUGGGAAUCCCAUAACGACAGAUAAUUUCUUUCUUCAGAAAUCGAGCAACCACUUGUUUGGUGACAUUUGCAUAUGAAGCAGCCUCCACCCACUUGGUGAAGUAAUCAAUGGCUACCAGGAUGAGUCGAUGUCUGUUUGAGGCAGUUGGUUCAAUGCGUCAAAUCACGUAUAUGCCCCACAUGAAAAAAAGGUCAAGGUGAUGAUAUGACAUUCAGAGGCAUUGGUGGCACAUGUAUUUUAUCUGCAUAGAUCUGACAUUUGUGGCAUGUCUUCACUUGGCGAUAACAAUCAACUUCCAUUGUCAACCAAUAAUAACCUUCCUUUGAGAUCUUUCUGGACAUUAUGUCUCCACUAGAAUGAGUCCCAAAGGAGCCUUUAUGGACUUCUGUUAUAACUCGGUUUUUGUCAUGUCUAUCCACACAUAUGAGCAAGACCGAGUCAGAAUUCCUUUUAUAGAUCACGUCCCCGCUUAAGAAGAAUUUGGAUGAGAGCUUUCUUAGAGCCUUCUUAUCUGUGAUAGACGCAUUCUCAGGAUACUCCUGUUUUUCAAGAUACGUCUUGAUGUUAUGGAGCCAAGGUUUACCAUCAGAUUCUUCCUUAGUUGCUAGACAAUGUGCAGGUUCGCCCAGGUGUUCAAUAAUUAUCGAGGGUGCUUAGUUGACCCACUUAACCUUGAACAUGGAUGCUAAGGUAGCAAGAGCAUCUACCUGUUGAUUUCCUCCCUCAGGAUAUGAUGAAAAGUGAUUUCAUCAAAAUAUGGAACCAACUUCAUGACAUGUUCUCUGUAUGGGAUCAACUUGCAAUCACGAGUCUGUCAAUCUCCUCUGACCUGACUGAUUACUAGAGUUGAGUCUCUAUAUACUUCAAGGAUUUUAAUCGUAAAAUCAUUUACUGCUUUGAUACCAAAGAUACAUGCUUCGUACUCUGCCAUGUUGCUGGUGCAGUCGAAACAUAAUUUUGUAGUGAACGGAAGAUGAAAGCCAGUUGGAGAAGUAAUUAUUGCCCAUAUCCAAUGACCUUGUGCAUUGGGAGCACCAUUGAACACGAGCGUCCAUCGCGAUCCUGGUUUGGGUCAUUCCUCAGGGCCUGAAAUAUUACAAAUAUCUAACAAACAAGUUAUCCUCAUCUGGAAAAUCAAAACGCAUUGGUUAAUAAUCUUCCAUAGGUUUAGGUUAACUUGGACCUCAAGUCACCACAAUCUAUUCACUUCAUUACAAGAAUAUGAGUUACUCAAUCUAUUUAUAGAUUUAGGUUAACUUGAACCUCAAGCCAAAGCACAAAAUUGUAAAAGCGUAAAAUAGCUAACACUACUAAAAUAGGCCUAAGUCGAAAUCAUGUGUGAAGCAACAUGCUUCGACACUUCAACACAUCGACACACUAGCACAACACACUAGGUGGUUCGACACUUCCUUGUUCUUGUCGAGCAAUCUGCUUCGACACAAGAAAUUACAAUUCAACAAGAACAUGUAGAGAGAAGAGAUUUUGAAGAAAAAGGAAGAGAAGAAAGCCAAAAAGGAAACUCUCAUUUUUCAUUUCUCAAUAUUAACUUUGAUCAAUUGAUAAUGCAACCGUCAAAUUAGUGGUGAAUUUUUUUUUAAAAUUUAUUCUAUGUUUUAAUAGAAUUAUGUGUGAUCUUAUUCUUUGUAUAUUCAUUUUAAUUUUUGAAAAUUUAUAUUUUAUAUAUUGUAUAAAAAAUUGACACUGUCACUCUUUAUUAGUCGUGAAAUUUAUAUAUUUAUUUUCUAAAAUUUAGUUUAUGUAUAUUUUUAGUAGAAUUUUAUGUGAUUUUAUUCUUUUUAUAUUGGUUUCAAUUUAUGCACAAAAAAAAUUAUAAAGUGUAAAUAUUAAUGUCUGUUCAUGUUCUUGAAACACUAAGUGUCAAAGAGCACAUAUCAAUAUGUUAUUUCAGCAAUAGUGUGCUUGAUGAACUUUUUUUUGUUUAUAGGGUUUUGUAGACCAAUAUUCUUGGACUUUUUUAUUGAAUGAGUUUGAAACUUCAACGUAAACAAAAGGGUUACAAACUUGAGUUAGUGAUUUGGUUCUAACUCAUAUAUAACGGUGGCAGAAUGCAGUUGAAACAUAUAGGAGGAAGAGAAACAGAGAGAGGGUAUUUUUUUUAUUUUUUGUUUUUGUUUUAUUUGAAUUGAAUCAAGUCCUACAUUAAUUUGUUUUUCAUAAAAGAAUUGAAGUAAAUGAUAAUCUUCCUACAAAUGAUAAUCUUCUAAAUAUGUAUUGUAUAUGAUAUUUGUGAAAAUUCUUAUAAUUUUAGAAGGACUGUCGAGCACAAUUUUUAAACAGUGAUAAUGUUGAAUAAGGAAAUGAAAUAUGUAUAAGUUUUAUUAAUAAUUUUGUUUUUCUUUUGAUGGUCUUUGUUGCUUGUGAAAUUGAAUAAUAUAUUAUCUUGCAGGUUUUUCUAAUGGGUUCUCAUGGAAAUGUCUCGACAUCUAUUGAUUAUUAUUUUGUUUGAGGGUAUUCAAUUCUCAAUUUGAAAUUGAUGCUUACAACUAUACAUAUAACUAUACAUAUAUUCAGGAUCGAUAUUGAUUUUUUAGAUGUAUAUGAUAAAUAAUAAAAAUGGAUUUUUAAUAAAAAAUAUAAUUUUUUAAAAAGAGAAAUGCAUUAUAUUCUUCAAAUAUAAAGAUAUUACUACUUAUUUGUAGAUGAAAUUUUUGUAUUGUCGGCGUCAACAUUAGCUAUAACCAUUUUUAUAUAGAUUAUCAUAAGUGAAAAUUAACAAAUUAAUAUUAUAAACUAAAAUCUUAGAUAAUAAAAUAUUCUUACAUAAACAAAAGUAUUAUAAUGACCACACAUAAAUAUAAUAAUAAAUUGUUAAGAAAAUAAGAUUUAAAAAACAUUAAAAAUAAAAAAAGAUCAUCAAAUAAUAAAAUUACAUAAUAUCAUGUUAAUCUAUAACAUAUAACUCCACUGGAAAAUCUUUUAUUUCAUUUUAUACAAUUUUAUCAAAAUUAUCAAGGAGAAAACUAUUAUUUUAAAUAGAAGAGAAAAUAUCUUAACAUUAUUAUUUAUAUUAACAAUAUAUUUUAUACUAGUGUCUAAAAAAUUAUUAAACAAUUAAUAAAAUAAAAAUAAAUAAAUAAAUAAAUAAAUAAAAAGAAUCACUGAUUAAAAAUUAAAAGAAAAACAUUAAAUCUUUAAUUUCAUUUUGUUUUUAUAUUUUCUAUUCAUUUUUAAAUAAUUUAAAUAAUUAAUAUUUAUCAUAAUAAUAAAAAAACUAGGCAAUAAUAUUUAAGAAAGAAUAAUAAGCAGGAUUGAAUUCAUAACAUUUACCAUUAUGUGUGUUUAAAAAUCAAUUUUCUACCACUUGAUAAAUGACAUAUUAAUUAUCUAUUUUAUAAUUUAUUUAAUAUAAUAUUAAAUAUAUAUUUUACUUUUUUUAAUAAUAUAGAUACCGUGUUACCCUUACCCUUAUUCAGUACAUAUCUUAUUGACCAUCCCUUUCAUAUAUUCCUCAGGUCCCUUUCUUGUGUGUUACAACUAAACAAUUAUAUUUGCUUAAGAAAAUGAUUUUAUAUAUAUAUAUAUAAUAUAUAUAUAUUAUGUUAUAUGUUAUCUUGAGUUGUAUUCUUCAACAUUCAGAAAGUAUUUUAAUAUUAUUAUUAUUAUUAAACAUUGAUUUGAAAAGUGGAUGUGUAUUGUUGAUUAUACAAAUACGGAUGCAUUAUGUUUAUCUCUUUAAAUAUGUUCUUAAUAUUAUAUUUUAUGUUUUGUUUUAAAUUAUUUAUAUUGAGAAAAGUAAUAGGUGCUGUGCUUGUAUAAAAUUAAAUUCAUUGAGAAAAGUAAUAGGUGCGUGCUGUGCUUGUAUAAAAUGAUGGAGCGAGUACUUUUAGAAAUGUUUGAUAAAUGCACACAACAUAUAAUAAUGAUAGUACUAACGCGUCUUUGACUUCUUGGUUCCAUUUUUCACUUAGCAUUGAUAUGUGAUGACAAACACAAAGAAAAAGAAAAAAAAUAAGGAUAAUGUUAACUUGUGCCCCUAAGGCACAAGUUCAGAACCAAAUGAAGAAAUAUUAUCUUGGAAAUUGUGUAUUGACUUUAAUAAAAAUAUAAAAUUAAUUUUUUAAUUGUUUUUUCCAAUACAAAUUUUCUAUAAGUGCCUUUCUUAACUUGUGCCCCAACUUGUGCCCAUGGGGCACAAGUUAGAAUUACCAAAAAUGAAUGACUUUUUUAGUUUAGUUUCGGAAUGGGAGGGAAAAUCAUAUGAACAAGGAUGGCAUAAAAGUCUCAAUUCUCGCAUGUAGUGUUGUUUUCUUCAUCUGUUUCUUGGGAUUGUAUGCAAUGAAGAAUCUCCAAAAAUGGUUCCUCAUAGUUUUGUUCCUCACUGUUGCUACUACUCUAAACAAUGUAUUAGGUAACUUAAACUAUCUCUUUCAUUGUCAACAAUCUCAAUUGUUGAAUCACAUUCUUGAUAAUGUAUAAUGCAGGUGCAUUCGUCGGAGUAAACAUAGGCACCAAUGUUUCUGAUCUACCUUCGGCUUCAAACAUUGUUGCCAUUCUAAAAUCUCAUCAAAUCAAUCAUGUGCGUCUUUAUGAUGCCAAUCCUCACAUGCUACAAGCCCUAUCAAACACUGGCGUUGAAGCUAUUGUUAUUCAGGUUAUGGACCAUGUAUAUUUGCAGGAAGGUGAGAAUGUGAAUCACUUAUACAUCAAUUAUUAUGAAUUGGAGUUACAAGUAAAUUUUUAUAUUCUUAUAAAACUAACUUUGGGAUUGAAUAUUUUUAAAUCAGUUCUAAUGCAAGCAGUGGUGGUGAUGAGAGCUUUUCUUCUAUGGCAUUUGGACCUGUAGGUCCUGUUGAUGCAAGUUUGAAGCUGCAAGUGUGUAGCCUUCACUAUGUACUCUCUUCUACUAGUCUACUUUUGGCUUUGAUGUUGUUCUGACUAGAAAGUUGAUGCACUUUUAGCCAAGCAACUAGGGAACAAGCUAUGAUCCUUAGAGAACAAACGAGAUGCCUGUGCAGGAAAGGAAGGGCGGGGGGUUUUACUCGAGAACAACAAGACGACCUCAAUGAGAUUUUGGUACCGUUUGAUGAUGUUUCCAAGAGCCUAAAGGGUUGCCUCCUAAAAGGGAGAAGAACAUUCCAUCAUACUCGAUGCAGGGAAAUGAAUAAUGAAUGUUAGGCAGUAUUAAUAACCAGAUGAAUGAGAUAGAGCGGCAGGUUCAAGAAGAGGGAUGAUUCAUGGCAGAUGUGUGUGGACCACUCAGCACUCAAUAAGGUAAAUGUUCCAAAUAAGUUUCCCAUACCGAUUAUAGAUGAGUUAAAUGAUGAAUCAUGUGGAUUGUACUUCUUUUUCUAAAUUGGGUUUGAAAUAGUGAUAUCACCAAAUUUGAGUCAAUCCGGAGGAUGUGCGCAAAAUUGUGUUUAGGCCAGCCAACAUGACUUCCACAUGACUUCGCAGGGGGGACACUCUAUAAAUUCCACAUGACUUCGCAGGGGACACUCUAUAAAUUCCACAUGACUUCGCAGGGGGACACUCUGGUUUUUACCAGACAUAGAAGAGACUGACAACUGAUGUGUACUGGAAAGGGAAGGUUCGGGAGUGCAUAAUGCAAUGUCUGCCAACUCUAGAAAUACUUGGCUACAUCACAAGUAGGAUUGUUAUCGCCGAUGUGGUUGCCUGAUGUUAUAUGGGUGGAAAUGUCUAUGGACUUUAUAACUUAACUGCCAAAGUCUAAAAGAUUCAAAGUUAUGUUUGUGGCCAUUGAUACCACUUAAACAUCCAUACACCACACGAAGGGAGACAAAAAGUAAUGUUGAAGAAAAUGAUAUAAACAAUUACAAAUUGAAUAAAUUGAUGUCUCUAUCAUCAUAUCAUAGUCUCUAUGGAACUUAGACUAAUCUAGUCCUAGUUUCAAAUUUGAAUCUUUGUGUUUUUCUUGAAAAGAAAUUUGGCAGAAGUAUAUUUUGGUUACCAUAAUCAAAAUAAGUUCGAAAGAACAUAUACGAAUUAGAUUUCUAAGAAAAAUUGAUUAACCUAGUAUAUAUAUAAACAUACUUAAUAAAUGAAUAAGCAUGCAUAUAACUAAGAAAUAUUAUUUACCUUGGAGUUUAGGUUUUAAUGGAACACGAUUGGACAAUAGGCGGUCCAUCUUUGGUAAACCGUUUCCAGACCUGGGCCUGGAAAGUUAUAAUAGGGCUGUUGAAAGGAUCAACAUGUGUGGCAGCAUCUUUUUGCUUCAAAGGUAAUGUAAUAAGUAAUAAAAGAGUGUGAUAUCGGCAUGCUUUGACAAGGUUAUGAACUGGUAAUCUGAACCCUAAUAAACAACAGUAGAUUAACAAAUAAGUUAUAGAAUGAAUACACAUAUAUGCGUAUAGUUAGAUUGGUGGUUAAAUAGUUUUGAACCUGGUCAUUAUUGUACGUUUUCAA